RNAcentral lists this ribosomal RNA (468 nucleotides) under uncultured bacterium. RNAcentral's name for it is "partial 16S ribosomal RNA". It matches the Rfam family "Bacterial small subunit ribosomal RNA", at positions 28 to 507 of the family's 1533-position model. The record is from RNAcentral.
GACGAACGCUGGCGGCGUGCUUAACACAUGCAAGUCGAACGGAAAGGCCCUGCUUUUGUGGGGUGCUCGAGUGGCGAACGGGUGAGUAACACGUGAGUAACCUGCCCUUGACUUUGGGAUAACUUCAGGAAACUGGGGCUAAUACCGGAUAGGAUCUCCUGCUGCAUGGUGGGGGUUGGAUAGUUUCGGCGGUUGGGGAUGGACUCGCGGCUUAUGAGCUUGUUGGUUGGGUAGUGGCUUACCAAGGCUUUGACGGGUAGCCGGCCUGAGAGGGGGACCGGCCACAUUGGGACUGAGAUACGGCCCAGACUCCUACGGGAGGCAGCAGUGGGGAAUAUUGCACAAUGGGAGGAAGCCUGAUGCAGCAACGCCGCGUGCGGGAUGACGGCCUUCGGGUUGUAAACCGCUGUCGCCUGUGACGAAGCGUGAGUGACGGUACUGGGUAAAGAAGCACCGGCUAACUACGUG